AGCAGGGGCUGCCCCGUGCAUGGAGCUGGGUGUCUGCUGUUCUCUCUGUGAGCCUGGGGCUGACGUCAGGCGAGGUCUGACUCGAGAGCAUUGCAGCUCAUGUUUAUGGUUUGUUCAUCAGGACCGAAGGACUUGGCACACAUCCCUGGCCAAGGCUACCAAUUUGGUGACCUUUCAUAAAAGCCCUGCAGGGAAGCAUCUGGAGAAGUUCGUGCUCCUGACAGUCACCCCAAACAGCACGUCUCAAAAUGCACAGAACACACGGGCUGCAGACCUCAGUGCUGCUCCUGGCCCAGCUCUUCAGGGGACUGGGUGCGAGGCCGCCUCGGGCUGCCUCUGCUUGCCCUAUGCCCCAGAGCCCACUUGGUGCCCACUUACUCCCAGAGUCCUGCUUCUGUGACAGGAAGAGCCUCAGUUGGGAGGGCAUUCAUCAUCAUGGAGAGCAGCCCCAUGUCUUUCACAGUGGGAUAGGUGGAUGAGCUCGGCUUCCCACUGGGAGUGGUGUGGCUACAGCUGUGCUGAUGCGGAGAAGAGAGCGAAUGGCUCACGUGCAGCCCCUGAUCCCGGCUGAGGGCAGAGCCAGUGGCGGGUCUCAGCCUCCGGGUCAGGGCUGGCGGGGAUCCCGAGACCGCGGUGGUGGGAACAUCCACCCAGCACAGGGCGGUGCAAGUUACUUUUAGUGUUCGGGCUCUGGGCUGGAGCUCUGGUGGGUUUGUGGAUGGGCGUUAAAUCCUUAAACGCUGAAGGAAGAUAACCUAAGGAGCCGCUCAUGGACCGAUGACGACGGGUGUCAUGGAAUAGAGACAUGAUCAGUCCGAUUCUAGGAACAGCUGGUCGCAGACAGCACUAGUAAACCCAACAACAGCAAUAACCCGAUGGGCUGGAAUCGGAGCGUGCUGAUCCUCUAGGCCAGCACUCUUGACUAAUGUCUCCACUAGACCUAAAACCGAGGUCACCCCCGCCAACCUCCAGCCUGAGUUCGUUGUGAUCCCCGUCCACACCCCCUGUCGGCUCUGCUGCUCUGGGAAGGUUCCCCCGGCCUCCCACCCCCACCCUGGCGCCGCUCAAGAUCUGCCUCACAUGCAGCUCUGGGCUGAGUUCUGUAGUGUCAUUUCACCCGGAACUGUCGGUCUGCGUGGAGCCCGUGGAGGUGUGGCUGCUCGAGCAGGAGUCUUCCCCCCCGAGGAUGCCUCGCAGGGUGGACACUCGUCAGGGAGGACUUUCCAAGGUGGUGCCUGUUGACAGGAAGACAGUGGUCCCCACGGUGGCUCCAUGGCCGGGAAUAGGCAGGAGGCGAUGCUGAUGCUGGGGAAGAGGCUGCUUUCUUUCGAUGGCUUCUCUCAGUGGUACUGGAAGAGAAGUUUCUUUUGCUGUAUUUGUUUCUUCUAUCACACGUCAUUCCUGCUGACUGCUCUUCAAUAUCAAAUACCAAUUUGGAAGACUUCCUGGACAAGACAGAAGCUGUCAACCCCAUUCCAGCAUGAGUGAGCCCAGCGCAUGCGUCCCUUUCUCUGCACGUCACUUCUGACACUCACGUCCUUGCCAGCCUUUCCCAGGAAGACUUUGCCGAGGCAAUGCCAGCCUUUGAGGAGGGAAGUGGUUCUUGGCAGCUCCAAGGCUGAGGCAUGAAGGAUCACACGUCGCCUGAAAGACUCCUCGGACCCACAGCCAGUUCCUCGCAGGAGCCUGGGUAUCAGCUUGCUGCAGACACAUCACCUGCCUCCUGACCACAAAAUGCGGUAUUUCUUCAUGAACUCUCUUCAGAUGCACUGACCUCAGGGUGCAAACCAGUGCUGGAGACAAUUCCUGAAGCUUAAUACAAUUCCAGAAGGAGGCCAUGGCCCCUUGGUCAGGAGAGCCCAGCACCUGCAGACAGGCUGGACACUACGUUCUCUGUAUUGGUGGAAAUUAUUUCACAGGUGACCUCUUUCAAGUAGCAAGUCUUUAAGGGUUUCUUGACCAACCUCCAGAGACCCCUUGAGGACCCUUGAAUCAAAUGACACAGACGUCCACAUGACACAGACAUCCGGUCUACCCCGGGCAGUGUAGCCUCUGGAAAACUCCCCGGAGGUGACACCAAUGUCAGGGAAGAUUUCAGUUUUGUUUUCUGUUCUGUUUUUUGUUUUUGGUUCUUUUGAUCAGUGCUAAUAUUCAA
Molecule: long non-coding RNA, 2155 nt
Organism: Manis pentadactyla (Chinese pangolin)
Lineage: Eukaryota; Metazoa; Chordata; Mammalia; Pholidota; Manidae
Exons: 5
Source: RefSeq, a predicted model, not a curated record